UAUGUUUAGUUUAGUUUUCUAAUGGUAAAUUGUAAGUGAAAAUAUAGAGCCUUAGUGACACCUAGUGGACAUUGUUCAUGUGUUUAAUUUGGUCAGUCAAGCAGAACUCGUCCAGCUGCACGCAUGGUGUCAUCGAUUGUCCUUCAGACACGUUUGUUCCUUGGACACUAUUUGUCUUUGCCUUGAUACUGCUUGCUCCACCAAUCAGGUUGCCCACUGAUGGGGCCUAUUCAUCAUGAGCUGGUUGAAGAGAUACUGCGGGCUGGCAGAGGAAGUGAUGUCAGCAUUUUGGAGCAGCCCAGCCAGAAUCCUGACUUGAAUCUGGUUGAGAACCCAUCACUAAAUGUUGAAGUGAUGGCAAGGAGGCCUUCUCACCUCAAAGAGUUCAUAAUUAAGAUGCUUGGCAAUAAAAGCCUCGUCUGCUCUUCAACUCUGUUCUUCCCACCAGAGAUCUGAGCAGCGGAGGCGAGGAAGACCAAUGUCGAAACAUUUGACAAAAUGGAGCAUCCCUUUUUUUAAAUAACAUCACUAGAAUAAUUAGAUCUUUUGUUCAUUCUGUUGUUGGAGCAUCGAUGUAAGAUGAGAAGUGACAGCUUUAAGAAAUUUGAAAUCAGA
Molecule: long non-coding RNA, 615 nt
Organism: Poecilia latipinna (sailfin molly)
Lineage: Eukaryota; Metazoa; Chordata; Actinopteri; Cyprinodontiformes; Poeciliidae
Exons: 4
Source: RefSeq, a predicted model, not a curated record